This is a ribosomal RNA of 794 nucleotides. It matches the Rfam family "Bacterial small subunit ribosomal RNA", at positions 77 to 873 of the family's 1533-position model.
AGCUUGCUGGGUGGAUUAGUGGCGAACGGGUGAGUAACACGUGAGUAACCUGCCCUUAACUCUGGGAUAAGCCUGGGAAACUGGGUCUAAUACCGGAUAGGAGCGUCCACCGCAUGGUGGGUGUUGGAAAGAUUUAUCGGUUUUGGAUGGACUCGCGGCCUAUCAGCUUGUUGGUGAGGUAAUGGCUCACCAAGGCGACGACGGGUAGCCGGCCUGAGAGGGUGACCGGCCACACUGGGACUGAGACACGGCCCAGACUCCUACGGGAGGCAGCAGUGGGGAAUAUUGCACAAUGGGCGCAAGCCUGAUGCAGCGACGCCGCGUGAGGGAUGACGGCCUUCGGGUUGUAAACCUCUUUCAGUAGGGAAGAAGCGAAAGUGACGGUACCUGCAGAAGAAGCACCGGCUAACUACGUGCCAGCAGCCGCGGUAAUACGUAGGGUGCGAGCGUUAUCCGGAAUUAUUGGGCGUAAAGAGCUCGUAGGCGGUUUGUCGCGUCUGUCGUGAAAGUCCGGGGCUUACCCCGGAUCUGCGGUGGGUACGGGCAGACUAGAGUGCAGUAGGGGAGACUGGAAUUCCUGGUGUAGCGGUGGAAUGCGCAGAUAUCAGGAGGAACACCGAUGGCGAAGGCAGGUCUCUGGGCUGUAACUGACGCUGAGGAGCGAAACAUGGGGAGCGAAAGGAUUAGAUACCCUGGUAGUCAUGCCGUAACGUUGGGCCUAGGUGUGGGGACCUUCACGGUUCCGCGCCGCAGCUACGCAUUAGUGCCCGCUGGGAGACGGCGCAGGCUAAACU